GGGGGUUUAGCUCAAAUGGUAGAGCGCUCGCUUUGCAUGCGAGAGGCACCGGGCUCGAUACCCGGAUUCUCCA
Molecule: non-coding RNA, 73 nt
Organism: Perkinsus marinus ATCC 50983
Lineage: Eukaryota; Perkinsozoa; Perkinsida; Perkinsidae
Source: Rfam